UAAAUCAUCUACUCCAUUUUUCACCCUGUUGGAACACAUUCAAUCAUGGACAUAUGAUCAAAAAGAAAACCCAAUUAUUGUACACUGUCGAAAUGGAGUGAACAAGGGAGGACUAUUCUGUGUUCUGGCAGCCAUUUUAGAACGACUAACCAUAGAACAAGACGUCAGUGUGUUACAGACUAUAAUACAGCUCCGAGUAUCCAGACCACAAAUUAUUACUUGUUAUGAACAAGUGAAAUUUUGUUUCGAUGCUGUUGGUAAUUAUCUGGACCAUUUCUCAACAUAUGCCAAUUCUUGUUGAUUGUAAUUAUAAUAUCCUAUUGUAAUAGUGUGAUAAUUGCAAAAUGUUUUUAAUUGCUUUCGUAAGCUGGUUUUGGAUUUUCUUUUUAAUUGUAUGUUAAGUUUGCUACAAGGUUUGCUUUAUUAUUUAAAGUUUAUACUACUUAAUGUAUACAUGGGCUUAGGU
This is a long non-coding RNA of Patella vulgata (common limpet), 466 nucleotides long. RefSeq lists it as uncharacterized. Lineage: Eukaryota; Metazoa; Mollusca; Gastropoda; Patellidae. The transcript has 3 exons. The record is from RefSeq and is a predicted model, not a curated record.